UACGGAGGGUGCAAACGUUGCUCGGAAUCAUUGGGCGUAAAGCGAACGUAGGCGGCAUUGUAAGUCGGGUGUGAAAGCCCUCGGCUCAACCGAGGAAGUGCAUUCGAAACUGCAACGCUUGAGUGUCGGAGAGGAUAGCGGAAUUCCCGGUGUAGAGGUGAAAUUCGUAGAUCUACGAAGGAGCGCCAAAAGCGAAGGCAGCUCUCUGGGUCCCUACCGACGCUGGGGUGCGAAAGCAUGGGGAGCGAACAGG
Molecule: ribosomal RNA, 253 nt
Filed under: uncultured bacterium
Lineage: Bacteria
Description: partial 16S ribosomal RNA
Rfam family: Bacterial small subunit ribosomal RNA
Source: RNAcentral